AGCGAACGCUGGCGGCAGGCUUAACACAUGCAAGUCGAGCGGGCACUUUCGGGUGUCAGCGGCGGACGGGUGCGUAACGCGUGGGAACGUGCCCUCUGGUUCGGAAUAACUCAGGGAAACUUGAGCUAAUACCGGAUACGCCCUUUUGGGGAAAGGCUUGCUGCCGGAGGAUCGGCCCGCGUCUGAUUAGCUAGUUGGUGAGGUAACGGCUCACCAAGGCGACGAUCAGUAGCUGGUCUGAGAGGAUGAUCAGCCACACUGGGACUGAGACACGGCCCAGACUCCUACGGGAGGCAGCAGUGGGGAAUAUUGGACAAUGGGCGCAAGCCUGAUCCAGCCAUACCGCGUGAGUGAUGAAGGCCUUAGGGUUGUAAAGCUCUUUUAUCCGGGACGAUAAUGACGGUACCGGAGGAAUAAGCCCCGGCUAACUUCGUG
RNAcentral lists this ribosomal RNA (435 nucleotides) under uncultured bacterium. RNAcentral describes it as "partial 16S ribosomal RNA". It matches the Rfam family "Bacterial small subunit ribosomal RNA", at positions 29 to 507 of the family's 1533-position model. The record is from RNAcentral.